RNAcentral lists this ribosomal RNA (441 nucleotides) under Bacteroides fragilis. RNAcentral describes it as "bacterial SSU rRNA". It matches the Rfam family "Bacterial small subunit ribosomal RNA", at positions 183 to 623 of the family's 1533-position model. Lineage: Bacteria; Pseudomonadati; Bacteroidota; Bacteroidia; Bacteroidales; Bacteroidaceae. The record is from RNAcentral.
GAUUCCGCAUGGUUUCAUUAUUAAAGGAUUCCGGUAAAGGAUGGGGAUGCGUUCCAUUAGGUUGUUGGUGAGGUAACGGCCCACCAAGCCUUCGAUGGAUAGGGGUUCUGAGAGGAAGGUCCCCCACAUUGGAACUGAGACACGGUCCAAACUCCUACGGGAGGCAGCAGUGAGGAAUAUUGGUCAAUGGGCGAGAGCCUGAACCAGCCAAGUAGCGUGAAGGAUGACUGCCCUAUGGGUUGUAAACUUCUUUUAUAUUAGAAUAAAGUGCAGUAUGUAUACUGUUUUGUAUGUAUAAUAUGAAUAAGGAUCGGCUAACUCCGUGCCAGCAGCCGCGGUAAUACGGAGGAUCCGAGCGUUAUCCGGAUUUAUUGGGUUUAAAGGGAGCGUAGGUGGACUGGUAAGUCAGUUGUGAAAGUUUGCGGCUCAACCGUAAAAUUG